GUGUGAGUGUGUGUAUGUGUGUGUGUGUGUGUGCAUGUACGUUCGAUCAUCCAGAUGAUGGCAGAGAAAUGUGAGUACAAGAAUCGAGGCAGCCUCUGAACCUUGAGCUGAGGUUGUGGCUCAGUUGGUAGAGAGCUUACCUAGCAUGCCCAAAACCAGGGGUUUGAAGCCCAGUACCCUCUAAACCAUGUGUGUUGGAGCAUGCUUGCAAUCCCAGGGAUUGGAAGCAGAAGGAUCAGAUGUUGGGGACCAGGCUAGGGUACACGAUAGCCUAUCUAGAAAACAAAACAAACACAAACAGGCUUCUCUAAGAAAGGCUUCACAGAAGCUGAAGCACCCAAUGCCUUCACAUGCUGUGCUGGUUCUGGUCACUCCCGAACAGUGAUGUCAGCAUAGUACUCGUGUCCAUUCCUCUGUGGUGAAUGUGGAUAGUGUUCAACUGAGGACAAUAGCUGGGUGUGUGGACGACAUCCAUGUGUCAGUGGUGCUCAGCAAGGAUGCAGAGGUCAUAUGCAUGGGUGAGUGGGUGACAGCAGAACAGAGUGAUGCUUUACUGUUGGAGGAUAUUAUAGAGGCGGGUAAAGGUAUCCCUUAUUUCUCUGUGAGAUGAUUGGAGACAGGUAUCAUCUACAUGUCUGAAGGUAACAUCAGGUUGAAUUUAGGCCAUAUUUAAGUUUAAAGAACACCCGAGUAACUGUGGUGACAUUGGAAUAAGCAAGGACAAUGACCAAGGCUAAAUAACAUCUCUGUGUGUGAUAUCUUCAGGAACCAUGGGUUACAUGCAGAGCUCUGUAUGUGAACGGGACAAUAAUCACAGUCAUUCUGACAGAGGAUGAGGUAGUGAUACCAAGAUGUGUGGGUACUAUUCAAGUGAGCAUAAAUGUCAGAUGUGUUAACACAGUUAAGAUGUUCAUCUUGAUUGUGUGAAAUAGCCGAGAACUGAGUGGACAUACAGUCUUUGCUGAAAACAUCUGAGUGCUUAAGAACAAUACUCCAUGAUUUUCUGAGUAGUAUCUGGAGAAGGUUUACUUAAACAGUCAUGGGAAAGAUGUGAUAUUUUGUGGGUACUAAUAAAACAGUGGUAGCACGUGACAGACAAAUAACUUCUAAAUGACUGUGGACAAUGCUAAUGUGAGUGUUGGUGUUGGCUAUUUUACUGUGGACAGCAUCUGAGCUGAUGGUAAAGUCACAGGUUCAUCUAAGAAUAAAGUGUACAGCAUACAAAUUUCUCUCUUUUGUUGCAGUGAGCCCAGGUGACAUAUGCAUCUCUGGGGGUCCUAUUCCAGUGAGACUGGCCAACAGUCAUUGCACAUGAUGUGAGAGCACCCAGGCAACCACCUGAUGUCUGCAUGCAACAGCAUCCAGACAGAUGAAGCCGAUCCUUGCACUGGGUUCUGAAUCACUGUACAUCUUGCUUCUUCAAGGUCCCUUGCUCUACUGGCUGCCCUCCUUUGCAUCAGAACCAUUAACAUCUCUCUCGAUCCUUCUCUACUUGCAAACACCCACGGUGUAGCAUCUCUAGUCCUUGCUACUCUAGGAGCUAAUACAAAAAAAAUUUUUUUGAACCCAUCACUUUGAGAUCCUGUUUAAAAAAAAAAGAAAAGAAAAAGAAAAGAAAGAAAAAGAAAUGCUCUGCUACAUUCCAACCUUUCCUCAAACCCAUACAUUUUCUACCACUGAUCUAUUUUUCUUUCUCCCUGAUGCCCCCACUCCUUGGACAUUUUGCUAACUACUCUUGUUCACUUCUUGCAACCCCUUCUCCAUGGCCCAGUCCUCCUCCUUCUGAGUCAGGUCUUGGUAUCACAUCACCCUCUCUGUAGUUAUUGUGUAUGAACAACCCCGGUGUGGAUAUUUUGUUCAUCUCUGAUUCAUCAUAGCAAUAAUUAGUAUCCCUUACCUGACCUCAGCUAAGACUCUUCUCUCACUUUCUGCAAAGACACGGCUACUGUUUCUAUUUCACUUACAUCUCCUCCUGGACCUUCUUUCCUCUGCCUUGCUUUUAAAUGCCAGCCUUCUGUAGGGUCCUGGCUCAGCUUCCCUGCUCUCAUUUUAUACAAUAUUUUUUAAAAGUAUUUUGCCAAUUCCUAUGGUUUCUGGUUCUCCCCCCCAAAGGUGAAGACUUGCCAAGUCUAUGUUUCCAGCUCAGAUCUCCAAGGUAAGUUCCAGAUCUCAGGAUUCAACAGCUUUGGUGAGUAACCAUCAAUUUUUGAACUCUAUGGGCUCCAAAUUGAGUUUAUAAUAAUUCCCUCUUUCAAAACUGUUUCUGCUCCUUCGUUAUUAGGAGCUGAAUGUAGGGCCUUGCCGUUGCAAGCAGGUGCUGUAAUAUGAAAUGCACGUCUAGUCCCCCUCCUUGGUUGUCUCUCUAUGAUAUGCCAUCCACAUCCUUUCAGUUGCCUAAACCAGAAACUGGAUCUCAUCCCUUGACUUCAUCCACCCUCUCUAUUUCUAAUCAAUGUUUAGGUUCUGUUGACUCCGUUUCCAGAAGUCGCUCUUGGGUCCGUCCACUUCUUUGCAUCCUCACUGCCAGCCUCUCCAUCUGUGCUAGCAUCAUCUUCCAGCCAGAUUUGUGUAAUGCAAUAGCUUUCUAAAGUAUCUUUCUGCAUUCUAUCUGAAUCUCAACACCAUGCAAUCAAUCCUGGCAGCACUAUUUAGUGGAUCCCAAUGCCUCAGGAGGAAAUCUACACAUUAUAGCAAGAGCUAUAAAGCUCCCCAAGCACACUCUAGGUUGGUUUACACUGUUAUUAGGAACCUUCAAGGGUACAUGUUCCAGCAUACAAAAACUGUGUUAUACUGAACAGACAUGCUAUAGCCUUAAACUUUGAGCUUUUGAGACAGGAUAUCUUUCUCUAAGACAUUUUAUGCCUCUUCUGCUCUGUCACUUGGUUCUCUGUCAUAUUUCCCUACUUGAUCACAUCCAUACCCCAGGAAACCCGUCUUAAUCCCCAAGGGCAGAGUAGGCUGGAGAUGUCCCUUUUAUAUAUCCACAAUGCUUCUUCUCUUUGUGCUACCAUUCCUGGCUUACUGUCUGUUUCCCCUAUAAACUCAGAGCUCCAUGAAGUAGGGUUUUCGUCAGUUUUGUUAAAUGCGUAUCCUUGUUGCCUAGCAGUUUCUGGUCCAAUAAAUCUUUCCUGAGUGAAAGAGUAAGUGACAGUGGGUAAAAGCCAAACUGAGAAAGCAUGAAUUGUUUCAUGGGCUGAGUAAAUACGUAGGGUAUAAUUUAACAAUGUUUACUUCUUGAACAUAGAAUCCAACUCCUUCCUUUUCCAUUUACUGAACCCGAGCUCCCAGGUUCCACCCUCAGUGAAGUUACUAGACUCCCCAAUUCCUUUGUGUGUCCAUAUUCCAAUCAGACCCUCUGUGGGAUUUCUAGGCAGUGAUUUUCUCUGUCCCUGUGUACUUGGCUGCAGACUGCUGAGACUGCAGACUGUGUCUAGUUCGUUCAGUGUUCCCAGCACUAAGCCUAGUAAAUGUUCAUUAAACAUUGCAAACAAAUAUGGGGAUGGAAAGGGAACAUGCAUUUUAAGAUGUUCAUUGAAGCAAUGAAGAUGCUACUGAUGGGAGGAAUGAGUCAUUUGCAGCCGGGAUGAGGGAAAGCAGUAGGAAGGGAAGGUGACACAAAGGAAUGGGGUGACUGUUGCCAGGGGAAGUUGGCUCUAGGCAAGUGAGAAAAGGGAUACUUGGGGCGCUGUGGAAGGGACUCAGAGACCUUCAGAGUGACAGAGAAGACAUGCAGAUGGGUGGAGGACUUGACCCUGGGAACAGAAGAGUUUGGGGACAAAUGGAACAAGAAAGGCAGUCCAGAGAGCUUAUGCCCUCACCGGCCCAGCCCUCCUUUGCCCUUCAUUCAGAGGUUCCUGUCGCUCUCUCUCCUUGGUACUGGCUCUGUGAACUGGAUGUUAAAGGAAAAGAAAGCUAGACCUGCUGACAAGAAGAGGUCCUUGUUUCCCGGCUGUGUGAUGCUGAGCUCGGGGAUGAUCUGAGUAGCUAUGGCAGAGCAAAGAUUUGAGAUUGCAUUCUACCCUCUCUACCCACAAUUCCAAGCUGUGAAAGCACUGUCUUC
This 4060-nucleotide small RNA is filed under the name Rattus norvegicus (Norway rat). RNAcentral describes it as "uncharacterized LOC108349007". The record is from RNAcentral. Lineage: Eukaryota; Metazoa; Chordata; Mammalia; Rodentia; Muridae.